UACGUAGGGUGCGAGCGUUAAUCAGAAUUACUGGGCGUAAAGCGUGCGCAGGCGGUUUUGUAAGCCAGAUGUGAAAGCCCCGGGCUUAACCUGGGAAUGGCAUUUGGGACUGCAAGGCUUGAGUGCGGCAGAGGAGACUGGAAUUCCUGGUGUAGCAGUGAAAUGCGUAGAUAUCAGGAGGAAUACCGAUGGCGAAGGCAGGUCUCUGGGCUGACACUGACGCUCAUGCACGAAAGCGUGGGGAGCAAACAGG
RNAcentral lists this ribosomal RNA (253 nucleotides) under uncultured bacterium. RNAcentral describes it as "partial 16S ribosomal RNA". It matches the Rfam family "Bacterial small subunit ribosomal RNA", at positions 524 to 776 of the family's 1533-position model. The record is from RNAcentral.